CACACUGCUUGGGGCCACCAGGAGGGUGAGUGGUGGCACCAGCUGCCGCGCCAGCUAGGUAAGCAGCUUACUCGGGCGCCGCCCCCGCCAGCCCCCUAAUUAUGCUGAGCUGGUUCACUCGUGAUCAAACUGGUCCAGUCUGCGAUCGAACUGAUGAACCAGCCCUGGUUCGAGGUGAACCAGUUCGGCACAAACUGUUUGUGCACACCCCUAAUUGAGAUUCCAUUUUUUAAAUGCAUAUACUUUCCCUUCUGCAGUACGUCCUUUGUAUUUCAGGACAGCAGUGGAGUAUCCAUUUAUGUCAAUAUAGGGACCUCCAUAUCCCCAUGGGUGGAUGUCGGAAGGCUCCAGAUGCAGUUCCGAGGCAAAGCAACAGAACAAUUUCAAAAAGGCUGAGAUCUUUGACGCCAACCCAUCUGAUGAAAUAGAUGUCUGAUUGUUCUACUCACUUAGACAAAAGGUUGUGACAAUGAAUUUUCAACAGAGAUUUUAAUAAGAUUAUUUGAUGAAAGUACAGAACUGAAAGUGAAAACAUCACCAUCAACCUUGAUAUUCCAUUCCCUGUUAAAGAAAAUGGCUAACUUAUUCAGUCUCAAUGAAUCCUUAUCUUUGCCACAAAUGCUGCAAGUUUCAUCCAUUUUGAAGAAAUUAAUUCUUCUCAACAGAAAGGCUAAAAAUUUACCAGGAAAUGUGCGUGUUAAAAAACUAAUCUUCAGCCCAUGGAAAGGAACAUGGCACAACUGUAGGGUAAGGCCCCCCACUCCCCAAAUAUGACUUCAUUCAAUGAAUUAAAAAAGCAAUACUAGGAGCAUUGCUCCAGAUAAUCCCCACAAGUUCCUUUCUGCUCACUGCAUAGGUUCUUUGACUAAGUACAAGGUGGUAUGAACGUCCAUUAAAAUGGCGCCCAUGCUUCAUUUUCAGUCUCCUCACCUAAGAAAACAGUACCUGAAUACUGGUUAGGCAGCUCAAAAAAGCAUCAUCAAUUUAUACUCCUGUAAACUGUUUUGUAAACAAUAUUUAUACUCCACUGCAGCAUCUCUGUACAGCUACAUCAUGAUGCUACUUAGCAGAGUCGGUUUUUUGACAAUGGAACAUUGAAGAAUUGCAGGGAAAUAGUUGUGGGCACCAGAGUUAACUAUAAUUUUUUUGGUAAAGUUAACUUUAUCUCAGCUUUCCUGCUUCUGCUUAUAUUUUUAUGGUGGUUAUUUGUUGACGUUUUAUGGUUUUUACUGUUUAACUGAUUUUAAGGUUUUUAAAUGUGAUUUUUAUGAAAUUUUAUUGUGUUUUAACUUUUGUAAACCACCUUGGACGCCUUAUGAAAGGUGGUAUAAAAACUGAACAAUAAUAAAUGUUUCAAACCCAA
Molecule: long non-coding RNA, 1363 nt
Organism: Hemicordylus capensis (graceful crag lizard)
Lineage: Eukaryota; Metazoa; Chordata; Lepidosauria; Squamata; Cordylidae
Exons: 2
Source: RefSeq, a predicted model, not a curated record